CAGACGACCCCGAAUAUUUUUGCAUUAGGUGAAGGGUCAGGGAAGUACUCAGAUCCAGACGCAUUGGUUGCCGCUUAAAUUAGGUUUAAAGGUUAAUAAUAAUUAUGAAUUUGUGGCUGUGGUAACUAGUGAAGAUCAGACUCAGAGACUUAUUGCAAAGAAAGAACUAAACCCCGUGGGCGUGGCGUAGCGUUUAGCUGGAGCAAGGAGUCUGUGUAGCCAGGCAACAUCUGGAUGCUUGAGUGAGGCUGCUUCACUGCAUCACGUGGUUGAAGCAUCACGCAGCUGGCUGUAUCGCAGCGCGUUUCCUCUAUGAAGCAUCAUCGCGACUGCUGCGCAAUUUGACUGCAAGCCUUUGCUACCGAUUCCAUCUAGACAGCUCUCCAAACGCACAGGUUAUGCCACUCCACAGGCUUCCUGAAACCCCUACUGUGAAAGAGAAGGGCUGAUCCCCAAGCUCUAGCUACUCUCCUCCCACCUCCAUCCACCCCCCUGUCCCUCCCUAACCACACAUAGCCCCCCACUCCGCCGGACCCCGGACCCCAUGGCUGCAGGAGGCCAUGCCCCUGAGAAGGAUGUGUUGAUCAACCUGCAUCAGGAGGAGGAGGAUGAGGAAGGUUCCACAGAGGAGCAGGAAGAGGAGGACUGGGAGAAGGCAUUAUCAGUGGAGAGGUUCGGGGACAUCAUCACUGAGUCCGUGUUCAGCAGCGGAGAAAAAAUGGGCCGCAACUACAACGAAAAGGAUUUCGAGUAUCAUCGGCACACCUUUCACCACACCCACCACCCCCUGUCCACCCACCUGCCACCGCCCCAGCGCCUACGCAAGCGGGUGCUCAGCACAGACAGCGACCGCCGGCGCAAGAAGAAACGAAAGAAAAAAAAGACCUCCAUGCCGCCCUCGGAGGUCACGCCCACCAUCCAUGAGGUAGAUGAGGAGGAGGAGGCGGAGUCUGAGACAGAGGAGCGGGACCAAGUGGCCACGCCCACUGAGCAGCCUGACAACCAACCACAGUUUAGCUUGGGGAGUGAGGAGGACUUGGAACCGGCUCUCCCUUUCACUUCCUUCCACAUGGAGAGCGAACAACAACAUAUGCCGCCAGAGAAAGCCACACUGGCCACGGCAGAGGAGGUUGAACCCCACUGUCCUCCCCUCCCCAGGUGCCCCCCCUCUGUGGACCCCCCUAGCGUGACCCCCUGUGGCUGGUUCAGAAGGAAUCCCCUCCACCCUGCACCGAGGACCAGUUACGACCUGCGGGAGCGCAUCUGCAUCGGCAGUAUGACGACCAUGGAAACAGCUGUGUACCAGAAGGUGCCCACUGACGACGCUGAGGCUGAGAUGCUGGCUAGCGCUGAUCUGGACGACAUGAAAAGUCACCGAUUCGAGGACAACCCUGGAGUGAGGCGUCACCUGGUGAAGAAGUCAUCUCGAUGCCAGCUCCUCCAGACCACCAACAGCUCUUCGCAACUGUCCAGCGUGAAGAAGAAGAGGACGGCUGACAAGAAGACCCAUGAGGUGUUUGUGGAACUCAAUGAGCUGAUAGUGGAUAAGAACCAGGAAAUGCGCUGGAAGGAGACGGCCCGUUGGAUCAAGUUUGAGGAGGACGUGGAGGAGGAGACAGACCGCUGGGGAAAACCCCACGUGGCUUCGCUUUCCUUCCGUAGCCUGCUGGAGCUCCGCAGGACCAUCACACAUGGUGCCGUCCUUUUGGACCUGGAGCAGACCACCUUGCCUGGUAUUGCUCACCUGGUGGUGGAGACCAUGAUCAUCUCAGACCAGAUCAGAGCGGAGGACCGUGCCAACGUGCUCCGCGCCCUGCUGCUCAAACACCACCACCCCAACGACGAAAAGGAGGGCCUCUUCCAUCGCAACCACUCUAGUAACAGCCUUCAAGGCAGCUUCUACCACAACCACGUUCCCAACACUGCGCUGCCCCUUGUGGCCGAUGACCAUGCAGUAGUCCACCACCACCACCUUGACAACAAAGCACCAGACCAUGACAAAGAGGUAAAUCACGUCACCCCCCCCCUGCCGACGGCUCACGAUCAUCAGAUUACCAAACACACAAAACUCUUAGCCAAGAUUCCCAAGGACGCCGAAGCAACCGUGGUCUUAGUGGGGUGUGUGGAGUUCUUGGAGCAGCCGGCCAUGGCCUUCAUCAGGCUGAGUGAGGCAGUGCUGCUGGAGUCGGUCCUGGAGGUGCCGGUGCCGGUCCGUUUCCUCUUUGCCCUGCUCGGCCCCGCUCAGUCCAACAUGGACUAUCACGAGAUCGGACGCUCCUUCUCCACCCUGAUGUCUGACAAGAACUUCCACGAGGUGGCUUACUUCGCGGACGACCGGCAGGACCUGCUGAACGGCAUCAAUGAGUUCCUGGACUGCAGCAUCGUUAUCCCCCCGUCGGACGUGGAGGGCAAGGACCUGCUAAAGACGGUAGCCUCCUUCCAGAAGCAGAUGCUGCGCAAGAGGAAGGAGAGAGAGAACAUUAAGAAGGGCCUGACCCAUGCCACCCCCGGGACAGACCAGGAGACCAAAGAGGUGAGCCAGGAUGAGCAGGAAGAGGAGGACCAGGAGGUGGACCCCAUGAAGCGGUCGGGCAUCCCCUUCGGAGGCCUCAUCCAUGACAUCAGGCGACGCUACCCACGCUACGCCAGUGACAUCAAGGACGCCUUGGACUCACAGUGCAUUGCAGCCGUCAUCUUCAUCUACUUCGCAGCCCUCUCGCCCACCAUCACCUUCGGAGGACUGCUGGGAGAGAAAACAGAGGGCAUGAUGGGAGUGUCUGAGCUUAUCAUCUCCACGGCGACCCUGGGGGUGCUGUUCUCGCUGUUGGCCGGACAGCCCCUGCUCAUCAUCGGAUUCUCAGGACCGCUGCUGGUGUUUGAGGAGGCCUUCUACAAGUUCUGCCAGGCCCAGGGCUUUGAGUACCUGACUGGCCGGGUGUGGAUCGGCUUCUGGCUCGUCUUCAUAGUGCUGUUGAUAGUAGCGGCUGAGGGCAGCUUCUUGGUCAAAUACAUCUCACCCUUCACCCAGGAGAUCUUCGCCUUCCUCAUCUCGCUCAUCUUCAUCUAUGAGACCUUCUCGAAGCUCAUCAAGGUAUUCCAGGAGCAUCCUUUGAUGAGAAGCUACCCGCCUGCUCUCAGCCUGCCCGGUAUGGACUUCAUCAACCCCACAGACCCCGGGGGCCCGGUCCUAAACCAACCCAACACAGCCUUGCUGUCUCUCGUCCUUAUGCUUGGCACCUUCUUUGUGGCCUUCUUCCUCAGGAAAUUGCGCAAUAGUCGCUUCCUGGGCGGGAAGGCCAGAAGAAUCAUCGGAGACUUUGGCAUCCCCAUCUCCAUCCUCUUCUCUGUACUGUUGAGUUACUCCAUCCCCGACACUUACACCCAGAAGCUAAAUGUACCAUCUGGUUUCUCGGUCACGUCUCCUGACAAGCGGGGCUGGUUGAUCAGUCCAUUCGGUGACAAGAAGCCCUUUCCCUUGUGGAUGAUGGGGGCUUCGGUGGUGCCCGCCCUCCUUGUCUUCAUCCUCAUCUUCAUGGAGACACAGAUCACCUCACUAAUCGUCAGCAAGAAGGAGCGUCGCCUGGUCAAGGGAUCGGGCUUCCACCUGGACCUGCUGCUCAUUGUCACACUGGGCGCCAUGUGCCCUCUGUUAGGCCUGCCCUGGCUCACAGCCGCCACUGUGCGCUCUGUCACGCAUGUCAACGCCCUUACUGUCAUGAGCAAGGCCACGGCACCUGGCGAGAAGCCUAUGAUCCAGGAGGUGAAGGAGCAGCGGGUGACUGGCCUGGUAGUUGCCGUGCUCGUGGGUAUGUCUAUCGUGAUGACGGACGUGCUCCGUAACAUCCCAUUGGCCGUGCUGUUCGGGAUCUUCCUCUACAUGGGCGUCACGUCGAUCACCGGCAUCCAGCUCUACGAGCGCAUCACACUCAUGUUCACGCCCGCCAAGCACCACCCCGACCACAUAUACGUGACCAAGGUGAAGACAUGGCGUAUGAAUAUGUUCACCAUCAUCCAGCUGGCCUGCAUCGUGCUACUGUGGGUGGUCAAGUCGACCGUGGCCUCACUCGCCUUCCCCUUCAUCCUCAUCCUGACCGUGCCGCUCCGCCGCCUCAUCCUCUCCCGGAUCUUUGAGGAGCGUGAGCUUCAGGCGCUCGACGGGGAAAAUGAGGACUCCCCCAACUUUGACGAGGAUGGUCGGGACGAGUAUAAUGAGAUUCACAUGCUUGUGUAG
This is a long non-coding RNA of Salmo trutta (river trout), 4231 nucleotides long. Ensembl annotates it as anion exchange protein 3-like. NCBI's taxonomy places the organism in Eukaryota, Metazoa, Chordata, Actinopteri, Salmoniformes, Salmonidae. The record is from Ensembl.